GCCCAGAAUAGCCUGAUCAGCGAACACCGGGGACCCUGCCCGGUCUUCUGGGCAUUAACCAAACGGG
This 67-nucleotide small RNA is filed under the name delta proteobacterium NaphS2. Its description in RNAcentral is "int-alpA RNA". It matches the Rfam family "int-alpA RNA". From Rfam's summary of the family: Acidobacteria (1 example), Planctomycetes (1 example), Proteobacteria. Environment (Lake Washington) Lineage: Bacteria; Deltaproteobacteria. The record is from Rfam by way of RNAcentral.